GGAGAGCUGGCCGAGUGGCCUAAGGCGGCGGAUUGCUAAUCCGUAGCAGGGGUAAUAACCCUUGCCGGGAGUUCGAAUCUCCCGCUCUCCG
This 91-nucleotide transfer RNA is filed under the name Actinoplanes italicus. It matches the Rfam family "tRNA". Rfam says of the family: Transfer RNA (tRNA) molecules are approximately 80 nucleotides in length. Lineage: Bacteria; Bacillati; Actinomycetota; Actinomycetes; Micromonosporales; Micromonosporaceae. The record is from Rfam by way of RNAcentral.